GACGAACGCUGGCGGCGUGCUUAACACAUGCAAGUCGUACGGUAAGGCCCUUUCGGGGGUACACGAGUGGCGAACGGGUGAGUAACACGUGAGUAACCUGCCCACAACUUUGGGAUAACGCUAGGAAACUGGUGCUAAUACUGGAUAUGUGCUCCUGCUACAUGGUGGGGGUUGGAAAGCUCCGGCGGUUGUGGAUGGACUCGCGGCCUAUCAGCUUGUUGGUGGGGUAGUGGCCUACCAAGGCGGCGACGGGUAGCCGGCCUGAGAGGGUGACCGGCCACAUUGGGACUGAGAUACGGCCCAGACUCCUACGGGAGGCAGCAGUGGGGAAUAUUGCACAAUGGGCGCAAGCCUGAUGCAGCAACGCCGCGUGCGGGAUGACGGCCUUCGGGUUGUAAACCGCUUUCAGCAGGGACGAAGCUUUUUGUGACGGUACCUGCAGAAGAAGCACCGGCUAACUACGUG
RNAcentral lists this ribosomal RNA (465 nucleotides) under uncultured bacterium. RNAcentral describes it as "partial 16S ribosomal RNA". It matches the Rfam family "Bacterial small subunit ribosomal RNA", at positions 28 to 507 of the family's 1533-position model. The record is from RNAcentral.